GACGAACGCUGGCGGCGUGCCUAACACAUGCAAGUCGAACGAAGUUAAUAGGAAGCUUGCUUUUUGUUAACUUAGUGGCGGACGGGUGAGUAACGCGUGAGUAACCUGCCUUAGAGUGGGGGAUAACACAGGGAAACUUGUGCUAAUACCGCAUAACAUAUUCUGACCGCAUGGUCGGGAUAUCAAAGAUUUAUUGCUCUAAGAUGGACUCGCGUCCAAUUAGGUAGUUGGUGAGGUAACGGCCCACCAAGCCGACGAUUGGUAGCCGGGCUGAGAGGCUCAACGGCCACAUUGGGACUGAGACACGGCCCAGACUCCUACGGGAGGCAGCAGUGGGGGAUAUUGCACAAUGGAGGAAACUCUGAUGCAGCAACGCCGCGUGAAGGAAGAAGGUCUUCGGAUUGUAAACUUCUGUCUUGUGGGAAGAUAAUGACGGUACCACAGGAGGAAGCAACGGCUAACUACGUG
RNAcentral lists this ribosomal RNA (468 nucleotides) under uncultured bacterium. RNAcentral's name for it is "bacterial SSU rRNA". It matches the Rfam family "Bacterial small subunit ribosomal RNA", at positions 28 to 507 of the family's 1533-position model. The record is from RNAcentral.